CAUGCACAGAAGCUAAAAUAUUCAGCAGGAAAAUCCUUCAAAUGGCUUUAGCAGAUUCAAUGUUAGAAGUUUUACAUGUUAAUACUUUUCUGUGACACAGUACGACUUCUUUGGAUGUUUCUCAUAUAACCAGAGGCUAUUAAACCCUUUGAGAAAUGUUUGCAUGUGUUCAUUCUUUUAGUCAAGAACAAAAGAAGUAUCUUAAUCUCUGACAUUUAUAAGGCAGUAUUAUUACAGUUACAACCAAUUUUCAACUCAUUACUUUCCAGGAAAUUAUAGGACUUUUCAAUCAUCUGUUUCAUCAGCUGUGGAAGCUAUGGUACAAGGGGAAUGAAGUCUGUAUGCAUUUCCUUCCUCACGACCAAAAGUUGGUGGGUAAGAAAAAUGUCAGAAGUAAGUAAGAGUUACUACGGGAUUCUUCAGAUUAAGCUAUCUAUGUAGAUGAGACAAUGCUCUUUUAUAUUAAAGAGUAAAAGAAUGUGUAUGUGUGUGACUUAAGGAAGAAAUUUCACGACAGGAGAAGAAUAACUGCUUUUGUUCUGAUGCCAACCACAUCUGGUGACCUCGUGACUAUGGGAGAGCCCAGGUCUUAUGACCACCAUAUCAAGCUCUUGAGGUCUUGCCAAGGAGAAGGAAGAGAAUUUUAAAUGAACAACUAUAUAGAUCCUCAAAUCACAUCUUCACAGGAACUGAGACUACCUACUGAUAUUAAUGCACAGAUAAAACAAUGCCAUUAAAAUAAAAUGAAGUAAUGAAAGUCAUCUUUUCUAUUUAAUGUGAAGAAUAACAGUGUCCUGGUAAUAAAACUCCUUCCCAAUUUGAACAUAAUACUGACAAUGAAAUGGUAAUGGCAUACCUAGGAGAUACUGUGAGUUCAGUUCCUGACUACUACAGUUAAGUGAAUUAUGCAAUAAAGUGAGUCAAAUGAGUUUUUUGGGCUCCCAUUGCAUGUACA
Neofelis nebulosa (Clouded leopard) is the source of this 955-nucleotide long non-coding RNA. RefSeq lists it as uncharacterized. The transcript is spliced from 4 exons. Lineage: Eukaryota; Metazoa; Chordata; Mammalia; Carnivora; Felidae. The record is from RefSeq and is a predicted model, not a curated record.